GACGAACGCUGGCGGCGUGCCUAAUACAUGCAAGUUGAGCGAUGAAGCUUGGUGCUUGCUCCAAUUUGAAGUGCAGCGAACGGGUGAGUAACGAGUGGGGAAUCUGCCUUUGUGCGGGGGACAAUAUUUGGACACGAAUGCUACUACCGCAUAACAACUUUAACCAUAUGUUUUAUGUUUGAAAGAUGCAAUUGCAUCACUCAUAGAUGAUCCCGCGGUGUAUUAGCUAGUUGGUGAGGUAAAGGCUCACCAAGGCGAUGAUACAUAGCCGACCUGAGAGGGUGGUCUGCCACAAUGGGACUGAGACACGGCCCAAACUCCUACGGGAGGCAGCAGUAGGGAAUCGUCGGCAAUGGACGAAAGUCUUACCGAGCAACGCCGCGGGAGUGAAGAAGGUUGUCGGGUCGUAAAACUCUGUUGGUAGGGAAGAACGUUGGUGAGAGUGGAAAGCUCAUCAAGUGACGGUAACUACCCAGAAAGGAACGGCUAACUACGUG
This 497-nucleotide ribosomal RNA is filed under the name uncultured bacterium. RNAcentral's name for it is "partial 16S ribosomal RNA". It matches the Rfam family "Bacterial small subunit ribosomal RNA", at positions 28 to 507 of the family's 1533-position model. The record is from RNAcentral.